RNAcentral lists this small nuclear RNA (103 nucleotides) under Bison bison bison. The record is from RNAcentral. Lineage: Eukaryota; Metazoa; Chordata; Mammalia; Artiodactyla; Bovidae.
AUGCUCACAGCAGCAGCACUUAUACUAAAACUGGGAGGGUGCAGAGAAGAUUAGCAUGGUCCCUGCACAAGGAUGGCAUGUGUGUGAAGCAGCCCAUGUUUUU